UGUUUUCCAAUGAAUUUAUUAUGCCGCUAAUUAAAUGACGGCCUCGUCUGGUGAAUGGUUGGGUCAGUCGCAUAAAUUUGUCUUUAGCAUCAAAGAAAAAUUUAUUGAAUUUCAUUUUAAUUGGGCAACACAUUAUUCUAGCUUUAGGCCCAAUUUGUCGACCGGGUCAGUGGCAUAUUUUUUAAGCGAAUGUGUUUAAUCGUGUUGUUUUAUUUUUCUUUUUGCCUAUGCAAAUAUUUCACAUAUAUGCAAUUAAUGAAAACAUAUUUAUACUACGCGCGCAUAUGAGUACAUAUUUCAAUUUGGUCUGUACAAUUAGCAGCGAAUGAAAUUAAAAUUGGAAACGCUUGAAAUAUUAUUAUUUGCAUUUCAUUUGCGCUCAUAAAAAGCGUCAUCGGAACAUUGAACCCCCCCACAAAUGCGGGCCAAUAUUUUCCCUGUUGAUUUUCAACAACAAAAACAACGAUUUCGUACAUGAUUUUAUGUGCUACGCUAAUUUUUGGAUAAUUAAAUUGAUUUCGCUUCCGCUACCUUGCUAGCAGGCCCACGAGGAAAUCGACGCUGAAAAUCGCUUUGAUUCGGCAGAACAAUGUCCCGCUGCGACCAUAUAUACCCUGGGGUAUGUUAAUUUUUGCCGUUUAUAUGGAACGCCACAAAAUUAAUAAUGUAUUUCCAUUUGGGUAAUUUUCGUUUCCUGAACCUGAUUUGCCAGAGCCAUAGGCUCAGUUUUUGGCUUUUAAUCAAGCCACACAGUUUCUUAUUUCAAAAUUCUAAAAUUAAAAUCAAAACAAUUCACAUUUGAAUAUUUUUAAAUUGAAAAGUAUGCUAAAUUUCUAGCGAAUUCCCAUAAAUAUUGCCUCGAAGGCAAAGAGUUGGGGUCAAAAUUAUCUUUGAGGCAAUUUUUUCAAUUUUUUCACAAUUCUAAGAAAAUGUUUACCAUCCCAAAUUUCUUUUAUAUACAAACAAUAAUUUUUAUUUAUUUAUUUGUUUAAGUAUGGUUUGGUAUGGUUCAAUGUGCUCCUGUUUGUCUGUUGACCCUCGACUUAACUCGUUGCGCUUCAUGCAUAUGUGAAUUUAAAUUUCAAGGGUAUCUCAUAUUUGGGUAAACAAAUUAAAGCAAAAUGUACCCGUUUUAAUGUCUUUUGCUUGGAUCGCUUCAAUUAUCACAGUGCCAAACGGUGUGACGCAUUGUUUUCAUUUUUGGAAAUUAUUUACAAAAUAGCCCGAGGCAUGGAUAAAGGCAAAGGCCAAGCAAGUGUUAUCCCGCACUUGUAAAUAUCAUUCAGUCAAAUUGUCGGCAUAUGGCGCAGAAAGCAUUCAAAACUUAUUGUUUACAAUGCUCUUUGCUGCACAUUUCGGUGGCCAACUGGAAUGUUGGCCAACAUUUACAGCUGACUCACGAGCUUCCAACAGCGGAAGAUUUGUGUGAGUGCGUUUCCAAAAUAGAUUCGGCCUGAUCUUAGCACUCACCUUUCGGCCAGAAAUGUGUCCACAGCUAGACAGCCGCAAAAUAAAAAUAUACCAUUUGUUUGGCAAGAGUUUAAUUUAGUUGAAAUUCUGACACAUAUCAAAUAAAUAAAUGCGUUGCGCCAAUAAGCAACUUUUUGAAAUAUAUUUCAAGAA
Drosophila montana is the source of this 1623-nucleotide long non-coding RNA. RefSeq lists it as uncharacterized. NCBI's taxonomy places the organism in Eukaryota, Metazoa, Arthropoda, Insecta, Diptera, Drosophilidae. The transcript has 2 exons. The record is from RefSeq and is a predicted model, not a curated record.